UACGAAGGGGGCUAGCGUUGCUCGGAAUCACUGGGCGUAAAGGGUGCGUAGGCGGGUCUUUAAGUCAGGGGUGAAAUCCUGGAGCUCAACUCCAGAACUGCCUUUGAUACUGAAGAUCUUGAGUUCGGGAGAGGUGAGUGGAACUGCGAGUGUAGAGGUGAAAUUCGUAGAUAUUGGGAGGAACACCAGUGGCGAAGGCGGUCCCCUGGGCCGGAACUGACGCUGAGGCGCGAAAGCGUGGGGAGCGAUCCGG
RNAcentral lists this ribosomal RNA (253 nucleotides) under uncultured bacterium. RNAcentral's name for it is "partial 16S ribosomal RNA". It matches the Rfam family "Bacterial small subunit ribosomal RNA", at positions 524 to 776 of the family's 1533-position model. The record is from RNAcentral.